Molecule: unclassified non-coding RNA, 401 nt
Filed under: Hevea brasiliensis (rubber tree)
Lineage: Eukaryota; Viridiplantae; Streptophyta; Magnoliopsida; Malpighiales; Euphorbiaceae
Source: RNAcentral
UUUAAAUCUCUUUUUUUCUUGCAGUGAUGGUUGGAUGAGGUUGGUUUAGAUAAGGUGGGUGGCGUAUAUGAUAAAGGUUUGUUAUAGACAGGUGUUUGAAUAUUUGAUGGCUCUAGGAUGGUGAGUGGUGAAGGUAUAGUGGAAGUGGGAACUUGGUGACAUGAUGGAAUUGGUCUCGUGGGGGUGAGGUCCUAAGAUGUCAUUUGUGUUGGUGGAAGGUAUGUGAUGUGAUGAUGGGUGUUGUUUAUGCAUGGAUAUGUUUGGUAAUGGAGAUAAUAUGUUUUGACUUGAACUCUUGGACAAUGGAUCAUGCAAAUUUGGACUGCUGAUGGGAGUAACUGCAUUUGUGCCUUUGAAGGGAAACACUUGUUCAUGGAAUAAAACAUUACGUGAGACAUGAA